This is a non-coding RNA of Pelobates cultripes (western spadefoot toad), 315 nucleotides long. The record is from the annotation of a GenBank genome assembly. NCBI's taxonomy places the organism in Eukaryota, Metazoa, Chordata, Amphibia, Anura, Pelobatidae.
CUGAGCUUUACACAUAGUGUAACACAUAAUGAUGUGUUUGGAAUAUGCAAAAUGUGGCUGCAAUUAAAAUACUAUUUGCAAUACAUGACAUUGUAUAUGUUUGGUUACCUACAUGUGGCUACUAUACCAACGAUUUUGAAAAGAGCCACCAAUGCAAAACAGUUAUGACAGAUUUUUUUCUUUUAUCAGAAUUCAGACACAUCUGUCAAAAACAGGGCAGGCUCUUCAAAUUAAUUUCUAAGAAUAUAUUGUACUUAUGUUGUGACAGGAUGUGCUUUCCGUGACAAUCCCAACCAUCUCCAAAUGCUUAAUUUG